GAUGAACGCUGGCGGCGUGCCUAAUACAUGCAAGUCGAGCGAACAGACGAGGAGCUUGCUCCUCUGACGUUAGCGGCGGACGGGUGAGUAACACGUGGAUAACCUACCUAUAAGACUGGGAUAACUUCGGGAAACCGGAGCUAAUACCGGAUAAUAUAUUGAACCGCAUGGUUCAAUAGUGAAAGACGGUUUUGCUGUCACUUAUAGAUGGAUCCGCGCCGCAUUAGCUAGUUGGUAAGGUAACGGCUUACCAAGGCAACGAUGCGUAGCCGACCUGAGAGGGUGAUCGGCCACACGGGAACUGAGACACGGUCCAGACUCCUACGGGAGGCAGCAGUAGGGAAUCUUCCGCAAUGGGCGAAAGCCUGACGGAGCAACGCCGCGGGAGUGAUGAAGGUCUUCGGAUCGUAAAACUCUGUUAUUAGGGAAAAACAAAUGUGUAAGUAACUAUGCACGUCUGGACGGUACCUAAUCAGAAAGCCACGGCUAACUACGU
RNAcentral lists this ribosomal RNA (496 nucleotides) under uncultured bacterium. RNAcentral's name for it is "partial 16S ribosomal RNA". It matches the Rfam family "Bacterial small subunit ribosomal RNA", at positions 28 to 506 of the family's 1533-position model. The record is from RNAcentral.